Molecule: ribosomal RNA, 28 nt
Filed under: Trigonella foenum-graecum
Lineage: Eukaryota; Viridiplantae; Streptophyta; Magnoliopsida; Fabales; Fabaceae
Also listed under: 1 other name
Description: partial 18S ribosomal RNA
Source: RNAcentral
CGUAGGUGAACCUGCGGAAGGAUCAUCG